Bos taurus (domestic cattle) is the source of this 1382-nucleotide long non-coding RNA. The record is from Ensembl. Lineage: Eukaryota; Metazoa; Chordata; Mammalia; Artiodactyla; Bovidae.
GGGCUGGGAUGGCCACGACACUGCUCUAACCUUGCACAUCCCACCAUGCACUGUUUAACUUCUCCUUGAAGCCAGGAAGAAGAGAGUACGGGGCAGAGACCUCAGAGUCCAGAUGCCCAUACAAUCAGCUCUGAGGGCAGCCAGGGCUCAGGGCCAGGGUGGGGUGCUCAGCGGGGUGUUGUCAUCAUUGACCAUGUCCUGCUCCACCUGCUUCUCCUCCCCACUCCUGCUCCCCCUACCCUUUGGGAGGACCUCCACCCUUGUAAGCUGCCAGCUCCUUGUGAUGUGGUCACAUCUCACUGACUGGACACCUCUCACAGGGUUACCCCUCACUGGCCCACUGCUGGAGCCACCAGGAAGUUGGCCAGAGAGGUCUGCGGAGCCCUGUGGAACACCAGCCAGGACACUCAUCACCACCUGUCCCAGUGAGUGAUGGAGACCCGCACUCAGCCCGCGAGGAGGCGCUGUUACCUCCAGGAGGCAAAACGCCCAGGAUCCACCCACGGAACUCCACCCUGUGAAACGCUUCAGAAUCGCUCCGUUCUCGCUCAUGCGCCCUUUCUUCCAGAUGAAGGUUUGGAUCCACAUUUCUCUCUGGAGAGUCUCUGCUGGGUGCUCAGCCCCAGCUGCGUUUAGAGAGCAGUUUAACAGACGCCGAGCAUCAUGGCUUCCAUCCAGGGCCAUUAGAAAACCCAUCUUUCCAGGACACCCCUCAGACUUCCAGGAUCCCAGAUGGGACUCGCCUGGACGUGCCUACCUUUCCCAGGCAGCUGCCCGUCUUUGCUGUGAAAGUACCACCGCGCCCAGGACGGCACGUGUGCGCCCGGUCCCCAGGGGGCUGUUCUCGUUUAUCCCCACGUGCAGCGCCAGCUUUAGUUCUUCCUCCAGCGCUGAGCAGUUGUGUCUCAGCCCCCCGGCCCUCGCCCCUCCCCUCUCCCUGCGCCCCUCACCACGUCUUGCCCAGGCCUUGGUCUGUUCCUUCCAUUUGUCACCUGCUCUGUCCCCCCACCCACGGCAGAUGAGCACUAGGCGGCGUGGCUUGGUGCUCACGCUGCAGUCCCCAGGGCGCGGUUGUGAUUCACAGGAAGAGCCUCAGCUCAUCAGCACCCUUAUCGUCCCUCUGACUGCACGUUCACCCGCCCCACUGAGCGACUGUCUCAGCUCUCCUAGGUUACGAUGGGAAACCAACGACUGUUUGCAUGAAUAACUAGGCAAUACUGGUCCCAUGAAGCUCCCUGACUGCGGGCACGAUCCAUCGUGAGUGUUUAAAGCUGCCUCUCGGUGUUCCGUAUGGUCUGUAUUUCUGCAUAUCUAUCCUUCAACCUCUGUUACUCAUUAUAUCCUUGGUUUCACUAAAAUUUUACACCUUUUGUGUUUCACAU